This 30-nucleotide non-coding RNA is filed under the name Homo sapiens (human). Lineage: Eukaryota; Metazoa; Chordata; Mammalia; Primates; Hominidae. The record is from RNAcentral.
UGCCUGUGGAGAUGUGUACCCACUCUGGCC